CACAUUCAUGCUGCUUCUCGCAUCUUUUCCCAGGUGCUAAGGAGCAACAGGAGGCACUUCACCCAUAGUACUGCAAGGCCCCAGGCACUAAGCACACAGUGGUGAGGAGAGUGAUCUGUGGGAAGGCAGUGGAGAACAGCAGCACUCUCAAGAAAUUGAUCUUCAUUUGCACUACAAAGGAAAGGAUGAAGCUCAGAGCCUGCACCAUCUUCAGGAAGAAACAUGUUCCCCUCUGGUAAAAAGAAGCUCUCCCCAUCCAACUGCAGGAGUGUCCCACUUGUUUCCCUGUCUCCUCAGAGGCUCAGAAGUGCACCCUCCCAGCCUGCCAUGCUUACUGACCAUCCCGUUCAGUGCAUGCAGCAGCAGCAUUUGCUGCAUCCUUCAGCUGCCUUGAGGAUAUUUCGGUGGGCUUCAGAAGAGUGGAAGAUUACGAACAUGGGAAAGUAUAAUAACAUGUAGAGGAGAAAAAGAAAAAAAUGUCAUAACCAGGUUUUCUAAGCCAGGAAUAAUGAGGACAAAUGCAACAUCAUUUCAGCUUGGGAGAAGAUACUAGUCAGUGAAUUCCUUACUCUGAAAACAGAUUUCCACCAGCUGUCUGCAUGAUGAACAGUACCUGAUUUUCAUCAGCUUAAGUCCUACAAAAAGAAUAAAAUCAAGAUCUAUGCAGGAGCCAGAAGCGAGUCUGAAUUUUCCUGUAUUAUGAAAGAAUUGCCCAAGGACGGGUAGAAGAAAUCACGAAGGCCAAAGGUGGAAUUGAAAUUGAAAGGAAGCGUAAAUGGUAACAUGUAAGUUUUCUGCAGGUACAUCAGCAGAGAAGAAAACGAACAAAGAAACAAACAACAACAACGAAAACAUAGAAAACAUUCCAUUGCUGAAAGGGACAGGUAAAUGCAGAAACAAGGAAGAUGGAAAAACUUGUAGUAGUCCUAGCAGGGGAAUUUGGAUAAAGAGGGGUGCCUUCCUAGUUGUGAAAGGCAGAAGUGAGGAAAAAAUAAUAAUGUAGACACACGCAAUGCACAAAACUAGUCAGGGUGUAUCUUAGGAACCUGACUGAUGUAAAAAAAAAGAAAAAAAAAAGGCAUCAUCACAGGAAGAAAAAACAAGGGGUAGUUAAAACUCAGAACACCUUGUCUAGGACUCCAGAGAAAGUUGUGCGGUGAGCCUCACAGCCUCCUAAGAGUGAGGUAACUGAGAACACUCAGCAUGACUUAGUCUGGGACAAAUUUUACUUGAUCAGCCUUUCAUCAUUAAAUGACGCUCUGUGCAAGGCAAGCUGAUUCACUGUGACUUUAUAAGGCUUUAUACACACUUUUAAAUAAGAUCUUUUAAUCAGACUUGACAGAUGUAUUUUGGAUGGGGUAGUACAAGGUAGAUGAAAAGUUGGAUGGACUGAUAUGUCCUGAGUCAAUGUUUCAAAAUCUAACCAACAGGUUGCUAGUAGAUAUAUUCCUCAGGAACUAGUACUGAGACCAAUACAAGUUAUCAGUUAUUACCUUCAGUAGUGGUACGGAUAAUUACACAUAAAGCAAUCUCCUGAAGCUUGCAGGGUGUAAGAGAGGGCAAUGACUGUUAAAUUGGAGGGUAAGUUAGUCUCUCUAAGGGACAUUCAUAGGUAAGAAAAAAACUGCCAGCUACUUCAUGAAGUUUAGCAAAAUCAAAUGCAAGGAGGCAAAACUUCAUCACUUAGAAAUUUAUAAAUAAAAGUUUUGCAAUAGUUAAGCUUGAACCAGGCUGCCUAGAGAUUCUGUGAACUUUUCAACUCUGGAGAUUUUAAAAAAUCGAUUGGACAAUGCACUGAACAACCUACCUAACUUGAAAGAUAACCCUGAUUUGAGUUUGGACUUGAUGACCUUCAGUGGUCCAACUUAAAUUAUUCUGCAGUUUAAUGAUGUAAUAUUGUCAACUGCAGUAUAGAUAGGCCUUUGGCAUUUUUACAGUUUAGUGGUAAUUGAAGGGGAAUUUGAGAUUGCAGUGGUUGUAUUUAUGGGAGAAAAUAAAGUCUAAUUAUGUUCUGUCUGUAGUCCCAGUUUGGAGCUGUUUUCAUUCUUGAAUCCGUAUGGGAUAACAGCAGUUGUGCUGCCUCAUAUGUUUACUGUGAAAACAGCUGCACUAGUCUAAGGUACCUUAAACCAAGAUCAUGAAGGUAAUGAGAUUUCUAAGUUGUUAUUACCCCAUUAUCUCAAAGCUCCUUGAAAACUUACCCAUCACACACCACUAUGUAAAAACACAAAAACAUGACCAUUCUACAGUCCUAGUACCUGACCAAAUAUCCAAAUAUCUUUCUCCUCCAUGAGAUUUCCAAAAGUUAAGGAAGGUACCAUAGAUCUGUUUUGAGCAAUGGACCAACUCCAUUUUGCAGAAAGAAGUGGAACUAGACAAGCUUGCCACAAUGCAAUUAAACUGAAGAAUCUAGAAUGAGCAGUGAAAAAUAAAUCAUGAGGAAAUAAAACUAAGGAAACGUAUUAAUUCCACGGAGACCACCACCAACCAUCUGAUUUGGUUAGUACAGACCAGUACAGGGCAGAAAUACAUUCACUUGAAUAAAUGGGGAAAUUGCAAGGCUAAGUUUCCUGAGCUACUACACAUACAUUUCUUUGAGUUUGUUUCAUAUCUAUUAAAUCAUUUGCUGUCUCACUUAUCUUAGCUCUAAAUCUGCAUGCUGCUAACUGUUUUAGUUGAAUUAAAGUGAUUUGUGAGCAAACUAGAAUAAGAGUUCUCCAGUCUUUUCUUUG
Molecule: long non-coding RNA, 2732 nt
Filed under: Gallus gallus (chicken)
Lineage: Eukaryota; Metazoa; Chordata; Aves; Galliformes; Phasianidae
Description: lncRNA (ENSGALG00010002936.1)
Source: RNAcentral